AAUACACAAAAAAUAUAAUUAAAUUAAAAUAAAAUAAUUUACUAAAACUAGGGUGUUACAAUGAUGGUCAUAAAAGUCUAACUGAGUAAGAACUUUAACUUGGGCAUCAGGAAAUUGUAGCCUCCAAUACUCAUUACUGAGGCCUCGAUUCAGUCUUUCAUAUACUCUCUACCCUCCAUGACUUGUCUGGCCCCUCCAAGUAUACUUGUGACCAGUCGAGUCAAAAUCUAUCAAAUUACAACGGUUG
Molecule: long non-coding RNA, 247 nt
Filed under: Lathyrus oleraceus (garden pea)
Lineage: Eukaryota; Viridiplantae; Streptophyta; Magnoliopsida; Fabales; Fabaceae
Description: Pisum sativum (pea) long non-coding RNA (PSAT_LNC016854)
Source: RNAcentral